CCUACGGGAGGCAGCAGUGGGGAAUAUUGGGCAAUGGAGGCAACUCUGACCCAGCAACGCCGCGUGAAUGAUGAAGGUCUUCGGAUUGUACAGUUCUGUGAUGGGGGAUGAACACAAUGACGGUACCCCAAUAGCAAGCCACGGCUAACUACGUGCCAGCAGCCGCGGGAAUACGUAGGUGGCAAGCGUUAUCCGGAAUGACUGGGCGUAAAGGGUGCGUAGGUGGUUUAGUAAGUUGGCGGUGUAAUUCCGGGGCUCAACCUCGGCGCUACCGCCAAAACUAUUAGACUAGAGUGCAGGAGGGGUAAGUGGAAUUCCUAGUGUAGCGGUGGAAUGCGUAGAUAUUAGGAGGAACAUCAGGGGCGAAGGCGACUUACUGGACUGUAACUGACACUGAGGCACGAAAGCGUGGGGAGCAAACAGGAUUAGAUACCCUGGUAGUC
RNAcentral lists this ribosomal RNA (443 nucleotides) under uncultured bacterium. RNAcentral describes it as "partial 16S ribosomal RNA". It matches the Rfam family "Bacterial small subunit ribosomal RNA", at positions 338 to 795 of the family's 1533-position model. The record is from RNAcentral.